UAGGAGCGAUCGACAGAGAUUUAUUUGCUCGUGUCUAGCCGUCCCCCUACUUCCACGUCUCGAGUCCCCGUCCUUCUUCCUUAUUCCAAACUUCAAGCCUCCAUAUUAUUUGAUACAUGUUAUUUAUAUUAUUUGACUAACACUCUUGUGAAUUUGUGAUUUUUGUAGUUUUGUUUUGAACGCGUAACUUGACUUAAGUAUAUUAGUAAGUUUGAAAUUGGAUUUUUCUAAAAUGUGAAACUGGAGACUUCUUUCGAA
Lycium ferocissimum is the source of this 258-nucleotide long non-coding RNA. RefSeq lists it as uncharacterized. The record is from RefSeq and is a predicted model, not a curated record. Lineage: Eukaryota; Viridiplantae; Streptophyta; Magnoliopsida; Solanales; Solanaceae. The transcript has 2 exons.